UCUAAGCGGGAAGCCUACCUCAAGAUAAGAUUUCCCUAGGACUUUAUGUUCUCUAAAGAGCCGUUCGAGACUAGGACGUUGAUAGGWUGGAUGUGGAAGCAUAGUGAUAUGUGAAGCUGACCAAUACUAAUUGCUCGUGAGGCUUGACUAUACAACACCCAAGCAGUUG
This 169-nucleotide ribosomal RNA is filed under the name Acinetobacter baumannii. RNAcentral's name for it is "partial 23S ribosomal RNA". The stretch from base 1 to 151 matches the Rfam family "Bacterial large subunit ribosomal RNA", at positions 2780 to 2925 of the family's 2925-position model. Lineage: Bacteria; Pseudomonadati; Pseudomonadota; Gammaproteobacteria; Moraxellales; Moraxellaceae. The record is from RNAcentral.